UUAUGGAAUGGUACGAGCGGC
RNAcentral lists this non-coding RNA (21 nucleotides) under Arabidopsis thaliana (thale cress). The record is from RNAcentral. Lineage: Eukaryota; Viridiplantae; Streptophyta; Magnoliopsida; Brassicales; Brassicaceae.